This 443-nucleotide ribosomal RNA is filed under the name uncultured bacterium. Its description in RNAcentral is "SSU rRNA". It matches the Rfam family "Bacterial small subunit ribosomal RNA", at positions 26 to 518 of the family's 1533-position model. The record is from RNAcentral.
AGAACGAACGCUGGCGGCAGGCUUAACACAUGCAAGUCGAGCGCCCCGCAAGGGGAGCGGCAGACGGGUGAGUAACGCGUGGGAACAUACCCUCCGGUUCGGAAUAGCUCAGGGAAACUUGGAUUAAUACCGGAUACGGCCUAGCGGCGAAAGAUUCAUCGCCGGAGGAUUGGCCCGCGUUCGAUUAGCUAGUUGGUGAGGUAACGGCUCACCAAGGCGACGAUCGAUAGCUGGUCUGAGAGGAUGAUCAGCCACAUUGGGACUGAGACACGGCCCAAACUCCUACGGGAGGCAGCAGUGGGGAAUAUUGGACAAUGGGCGCAAGCCUGAUCCAGCCAUGCCGCGUGAGUGAUGACGGCCUUAGGGUUGUAAAGCUCUUUCGCUAGGGACGAUAAUGACGGUACCUAGACAAGAAGCCCGGCUAACUUCGCGCCAGCAGCCGC